This 497-nucleotide ribosomal RNA is filed under the name uncultured bacterium. RNAcentral's name for it is "partial 16S ribosomal RNA". It matches the Rfam family "Bacterial small subunit ribosomal RNA", at positions 28 to 507 of the family's 1533-position model. The record is from RNAcentral.
GAUGAACGCUGGCGGCGUGCCUAAUACAUGCAAGUCGAGCGAACAGACGAGGAGCUUGCUCCUCUGACGUUAGCGGCGGACGGGUGAGUAACACGUGGAUAACCUACCUAUAAGACUGGGAUAACUUCGGGAAACCGGAGCUAAUACCGGAUAAUAUAUUGAACCGCAUGGUUCAAUAGUGAAAGACGGUUUUGCUGUCACUUAUAGAUGGAUCCGCGCCGCAUUAGCUAGUUGGUAAGGUAACGGCUUACCAAGGCAACGAUGCGUAGCCGACCUGAGAGGGUGAUCGGCCACCCUGGAACUGAGACACGGUCCAGACUCCUACGGGAGGCAGCCGUAGGGAAUCUUCCGCAAAGGGCGAAAGCUUGACGGAGCAACGCCGCGUGAGUGAUGAAGGUCUUCGGAUCGUAAAACUCUGUUAUUAGGGAAGAACAAAUGUGUAAGUAACUAUGCACGUCUUGACGGUACCUAAUCAGAAAGCCACGGCUAACUACGUG